This 253-nucleotide ribosomal RNA is filed under the name uncultured bacterium. Its description in RNAcentral is "partial 16S ribosomal RNA". It matches the Rfam family "Bacterial small subunit ribosomal RNA", at positions 524 to 776 of the family's 1533-position model. The record is from RNAcentral.
UACAGAGGGGGCAAGCGUUGUUCGGAAUUACUGGGCGUAAAGGGCGCGUAGGCGGCCCGCUAAGUCGAACGUGAAAUCCCCGAGCUCAACUCGGGAACUGCGUCCGAUACUGGCGGGCUUGAAUCCGGGAGAGGGAUGCGGAAUUCCAGGUGUAGCGGUGAAAUGCGUAGAUAUCUGGAGGAACACCGGUGGCGAAGGCGGCAGCCUGGACCGGCAUUGACGCUGAGGCGCGAAAGCUAGGGGAGCAAACGGG